GUGACACUGAAAAUUUAUUUUGAUAAAAUCUAAUUUAUUUGUUCAUUUAUUCCUUUAAGAAUUUGUCUACACAGUUUUGUGAAUGAAAAUGUUUGAAGAAAUGCUAUACUGUAGAAAGACCUCCAUAACAAAUGUUAAAUACAUAACCCAUACUGCAUACAAAUCUCCCCAACCUCAGACAGAUAUAAAUAUACUGCAAGUACACAGCAGUCUCUGUGUUUGGUCGAGUACAGCAGAGGAAUCAUGAGCUGGCCUCUUCUUCUUCUGAUAUCCUCUGUGCCCUUCUGACCUCGUCUCCUACUGAGGUUAAACCUCCCGGAGCCUCAGUGAAGUUGUCCUGUCAGAUUUAUGGCUAUGCCCUCACUAGCUACGGCACAGGCUGGAUCAGACAGCCUACAGGAAAACGCUCGGAGUGGAUCGGGAUCAUAUGGGGUGGUGGAAGCACAGCACCUCUGGAGCUUCCUUUAAAACUUGCUUCAGCAUCUCCAGAAACACGAGCAACAAUAUGCUUUACUUCGAUAUCAGCAGUCUGGUGCCAGAAGACACUGCUGAUUAUUAUUGUGCAAAGACACACAGCUGUACAUCUCAGCAUUCCUCACCCUUGGCCUUAUCCCACUCAUCUCCCUUGUCCUGGUACUCAUCUUCCUCUCCCUCGUGUAGGCAUUUUUCUUACUUUCUUUUUGUUGCACCAUAUUGUUCCUUUUCCACACAAGAUCAGCCCAAAGAGGUCCCUUUUUUACCAUACACCAUAUGGUAAUGCUAUUGAAAUAACCUCAACACCAGAGUGUGCUUCCUAGAUGGGAAUCAGCU
Long non-coding RNA from Ictalurus punctatus (channel catfish), 810 nucleotides. NCBI's taxonomy places the organism in Eukaryota, Metazoa, Chordata, Actinopteri, Siluriformes, Ictaluridae. The record is from Ensembl.